RNAcentral lists this ribosomal RNA (440 nucleotides) under uncultured bacterium. RNAcentral's name for it is "partial 16S ribosomal RNA". It matches the Rfam family "Bacterial small subunit ribosomal RNA", at positions 338 to 795 of the family's 1533-position model. The record is from RNAcentral.
CCUACGGGAGGCAGCAGUAGGGAAUAUUGCUCAAUGGGGGAAACCCUGAAGCAGCAACGCCGCGUGGAGGAUGAAGGUUUUCGGAGUGUAAACUCCUUUUGUUAGAGAAGAUAAUGACGGUAUCUAACGAAUAAGCACCGGCUAACUCCGUGCCAGCAGCCGCGGUAAUACGGAGGGUGCAAGCGUUACUCGGAAUCACUGGGCGUAAAGAGCGCGUAGGGGGGAUAGCAAGUCAGAUGUGAAAUCCUAUGGCUUAACCAUAGAACUGCAUUUGAAACUGUUAUUCUAGAGUAUGGGAGAGGUAGGUGGAAUUCUUGGUGUUGGGGUAAAAUCCGUAGAGAUCAAGAGGAAUACUCAUUGCGAAGGCGACCUGCUAGAACAUAACUGACGCUGAUGCGCGAAAGCGUGGGGAGCAAACAGGAUUAGAUACCCCUGUAGUC